This 159-nucleotide microRNA precursor is filed under the name Pelobates cultripes (western spadefoot toad). The record is from RNAcentral. Lineage: Eukaryota; Metazoa; Chordata; Amphibia; Anura; Pelobatidae.
GCUGACACAUCCAUGCCAAUCUCUGGCAGACCCUCCCUCCCAGACCCUCCCACCUCCUGGACAGCAUCCAUGUUGAAGCUGUCUUCAACAUGGAUGCUGUCCAGGAAGUAGGAGGGUCUGGGAGGGAGGGUCUGCUGGAGAUUGGCCGGGAUGUGUCAG